MicroRNA precursor from Aotus nancymaae (Ma's night monkey), 70 nucleotides. Ensembl annotates it as microRNA 32. Its record names the gene MIR32. The record is from Ensembl. Lineage: Eukaryota; Metazoa; Chordata; Mammalia; Primates; Aotidae.
GGAGAUAUUGCACAUUACUAAGUUGCAUGUUGUCACGGCCUCAAUGCAAUUUAGUGUGUGUGAUAUUUUC